CGUAUCCGAGUCCGAAUAUUCAACGUCCGAUACCGAAUCCGUAUCCGAAUAUUUAAAUCGUAUAUUUAUGGUGUCGACAUCCAAUUGUAUCUUAUCCGACAUGAUUGACAUUAUCCGUAUUCGGAUCCGAAUCCGACCACAAAUAUAAAAACAAAUAUGAUAUUAGUGAUAUCCGUUCGUAUCCGAUACGUUUUGAUCCUACUCAUCAGUUGGGCUCAAGAAAGCGAGAGUCGCAUCCUAUCACAGGCAGCACCAAACACAUGUCCUUCUCCCAUGUGGGGCCAUGCCUUUUCUUUAGGUUCCCCGCGGGCCCACCCCAAUAAUUACACUGCCUUCCCUUCAGAGUUGUCAUGUGGUCUACGGCCGGCCGAGCUAAUUGAGAUGGCGCAACCUAGAUUCAUAUGAAAUCGAAGUGUGGCAGUAAAGCAUUGUUUAGUUCCAAAAAAUUUUACAAAAUUUUUCAGAUUUCUCGUCACAUCAAAUCUUUAGACACAUGCAUAGAAUAUUAAAUAUAGAUAAAAAUAAAAACUAAUUAUACAGUUUCGUCGGAAUUUACGAGACGAAUCUUUUGAACCAAGGUAGUCCAUAAGUGGACAAUAUUUGUCAAAUACAAAUGAAAGUGCUACAAUGUCGAUUUUCCAAAUUUUUUUGAACUAAAGAAGGCCCAAAUUAUGGAAGGUUUCGACAACUAAGGUCCUGUUUGGUGUGGGGAAUUAAAUUUUAACUUUUCCACAUCGAAUAUUUUGAUAUAUACAUGUAGUAUUAAAUAUAGACUAUUUAUGAAACUAAAAACAUAGCUAGACAGUAAUUUGCGAGACGAACCUUUUAAGCCUAAUUAGUCCAUAAUUGAACAAUAAUUGAUAAAUAAAACAAAAAUGCUACAGUACAUGUUAAACUUUAACACCACCAACCAAACACCCACUAAUAGCAGCAUGCUGCAAAUAUUUCGAGAUGAGAAAUGCUAUCAAACACUCAUUAUUUUCUAUCUUCUCUUCCUCUUUCUUUCAUCUUUUUCUAACUCGUAGAAUUAGAAGAGGCUCGCAGGCCAACCAGGCGAUGGGAACGACAGGAGGGCAGCGAUUAGAGUUCUGUUGAUGUAGAAGGCGGCCGAGCCAAGUUGGGACGGAAGCGGCCAUGGCCAUGGCCAUGGCGGCAGUGGAAGGAGAAGGAGAAGACGUAGGUUAUUGUACGCCACAGGCAGACGAUAGGGUCUCGUCAGAGCUCCAUGGCCGCGAAGCUCCAACCACGCCGUGAUUGGGUGAUGAGGAGGAGGAGGAGGAGGAGGAAGAAGAAGAAGAAGAAGAAGAAGAAGAAGAAGAAGAAGAAGAAGAAGAAGAAGAAGAAGAAGAAGAAGAAGAAGAAGAAGAAGGAAGAGAUACGAGCUCCAACUAGCUCCAACGUGCCAAAGAUUUUGAGGCCCCGGAGCAAACCAAGAAAUGGAGGAAUACACUAGUGAAAUACAAAAAAAUCGAUAUAUAGUUGUAUUCCGGCAUAUAAGUAACAAGUACAUGUUAUUUUGCAUUCAAAGAACUGCAAUAUGAGUUUAGAAUUCUUACUAAUCUGCUUUCAUCAUCGUCGAUGUAUGUGCAAUCUGCUAUCUCUAUCUAUCUCCACACCUCUUGACUAGUCGACUACAUACUACCUCACUUGUCGUAGGCAUGCAGUGCUACUCGAAGGAGGAUUGGGACUGUUCCACGUCCAUGGAUAAUAGAGGAUCACUACAUAUGAUAGGCCAAGUUAAAGCUCAAUAGUUGGGGGCCCUAAUUUAUUGGGGCCUGGUCUAGCUACUCCAGUUGCGCUGCCUAAUGUAUAGGCC
RNAcentral lists this long non-coding RNA (1816 nucleotides) under Sorghum bicolor (sorghum). RNAcentral describes it as "long non-coding RNA (SBIC_LNC007902)". Lineage: Eukaryota; Viridiplantae; Streptophyta; Magnoliopsida; Poales; Poaceae. The record is from RNAcentral.